GUCCGUGAACCCCGUAAUAGAUUUCUACGUGAGUGUAGCAUUGCUCUUAUUUUACAGCCGCUGCGCCUGCUCUUCACGCCACCGCUUCCCAUCGGCGGCAGCCCAAACCCCGGAACCCUCUCGGCCAAUGCCGGCGCCGCUCGCCGCCUCCUGGCGCCGGCAUGCCUCCGCCGCGGCGUCCUCCUCCACUCCCAGGACCCUCCUCUUGCUCGUCCCGGUUCUCAUCCUCCUCGUCUUCGUCCUCUCCAGAGCCCCAGAUCUCACCUUCGCCCCCGCCACUGCCGCCUCACCCCACCUCCCGGCCCGGCUCCGCCCCUUCGACUGCUACGCCUCGCCGCAGGCCUCCCCGGUCUUGGCCAGCCUCGUGGAGGGCGUGCCCCGCCCCUUCCUCUACUCCCUCGCCGACCUGGGGUCCCUCCCCGACCGCCCGCACCGGAACAUCGCCCGCCUCCUCAAGGGCAAGCGCUUCCGCAAGCCCGACAUCUCCCAGACAAUCCAGGAACUGCUCGCGGGGGAGGUGGGGAGGGGCUCCGGCGGCGGGGUGGUGGUGGACGUCGGGGCCAAUGUUGGGAUGGCGGCCUUCGCGGCGGCCGUGAUGGGGUUCCGGGUGGUGGCAUUCGAGCCGGUAUUCGAGAACCUGCAGCGGGUCUGCGACGGGGUGUACCUGAACCGGGUGCAGGACCAGGUGGUGGUGUAUCAUGCUGCAGCAUCUGACCGGGUUGGGAACAUCACAAUGCAUAAGGUGAUCGGACGACUCGACAACAGUGCUAUAUCUGCAACUGGUGCGAAGUUAGCAUUCAAAUCUAAUGAAGAAGUUGCUGUCGAGGUUGCUACAAUCCCAUUGGAUGAAGUCAUUCCAGAUGCAGAGCGAGUGGUUCUGAUCAAAAUUGACGUUCAAGGUUGGGAAUCUCAUGUUCUGAGAGGUGCAUCAAAGUUGCUCUCGAGGAGGAGAGGUGAAGCUCCCUACCUUAUAUACGAAGAGGACGAGCGCCUGCUGCAGGCGAGCAACAGUAGUGCACAAGAGAUAAGGGCAUUUCUUGGCAGUGUUGGUUACAAUCAGUGUACGCGGCAUGGGACGGAUGCUCACUGUACAAAAGAAUAGACAAAGCUUUUUCUGCCUGGUGGUUGGACGCCCCUUAGCUGGGGAUACAUAGAACAGUCAAAUAGGAAAUCCUAAGCUAGGAAUGAGACUACGGUAGGUCGCAUGGCUCGAGGACAUAGAGCGCGAAGCACUGGAAAGAACCAGGGAAGAAGAGAAGGAAGCCACACCCACCACAAGCAGUCACCAGGAUCAAAGUUGAGCAAGAGAUCAUCAAUUUGUCAGUCUCGUCAGAUGACGAGGAGGAUCAUCAAGCUCGAACUCAUCAAUGUGUACAAGGGCCAUCUACCUGUACUCCUUCCAUUCCUAAAUAUAAGUCUUUUUAGAGAUUUCUAUAUCGAUUACAUACGGAUGUAUAUAGAUGUAUUUUAGAGUGUAGAUUCUCUCAUUUUGCUUCGCAUGUAGUUCGUAUUGAAAUCUCUAAAAGACUUAUAUUUAGAAACGGAAAGGAUGGAUUAUUCCUGUUGAGAAAUUAAUGGAAAGGGGUAGUGGUGUAGUGCCCGGUUGAAAAAGCACACUAAGGCCAUUACACGAACCGUGCUGGUGGAACCAGUAUCUACCGGUGGGAAAUCCACCAUCUAGAUCCGUGCUGGUGGAACCCAUAAGAUUUUUUUUUCCACCUCCGAUUCGGGAUACGAGACCUAUACAGAUGCAAUACGAGAUGGAGCCACGAGGGGGCACAGACAAGACCGGCGGCGGCACGGCUGUACCACGAGGCCGGCGAGGAGCGGCGCCGAAUCACGCUGGCGUACAACAGAUACACCGCGGUGGGCGUUGGGGAGAGCUGCUCCAGCAAGGUUCCACCACGACGGCCACCCACCACAAUGGGUC
This is an RNA transcript of Triticum dicoccoides, 1930 nucleotides long. RefSeq lists it as uncharacterized. The transcript is spliced from 3 exons. The record is from RefSeq and is a predicted model, not a curated record. NCBI's taxonomy places the organism in Eukaryota, Viridiplantae, Streptophyta, Magnoliopsida, Poales, Poaceae.